RNAcentral lists this ribosomal RNA (1078 nucleotides) under uncultured Chloroflexota bacterium. RNAcentral's name for it is "bacterial SSU rRNA". It matches the Rfam family "Bacterial small subunit ribosomal RNA", at positions 8 to 1105 of the family's 1533-position model. Lineage: Bacteria; Bacillati; Chloroflexota. The record is from RNAcentral.
AGAGUUUGAUCCUGGCUCAGGAUAAACGCUGGCGGCGUGCAUGAGACAUGCAAGUCGAACGGACGAGUGGGCUUGCUCACUCGUUAGUGGCGGACGGCUGAGUAACGCGUAGGUGACCUGCCCCGAAGUGGGGAAUAACUGCCCGAAAGGGUGGCUAAUACCGCGUGUGGUGCCACGUUCAUUCGUGUCUCCAAAGCCGCAAGGCGCUUCGGGAGGGGCCUGCGUCCGAUUAGCUCGUUGGUGGGGUAACGGCUCACCAAGGCGACGAUCGGUAGGUGGUCUGAGAGGACGAUCACCCAGACUGGGACUGAGACACGGCCCAGACUCCUACGGGAGGCAGCAGUCGGGAAUUUUGGGCAAUGGGCGAAAGCCUGACCCAGCAACGCCGCGUGAGGGAUGAAGGCCUUCGGGUCGUAAACCUCUUUUCUCAGGGACGAUGAUGACGGUACCUGAGGAAUAAGCCACGGCUAACUACGUGCCAGCAGCCGCGGUAAUACGUAGGUGGCGAGCGUUGUCCGGAUUUACUGGGCGUAAAGAGCGCGCAGGCGGUCGGAUUAGUCGAAUGUGAAAGCCCCCGGCUCAACUGGGGAGGGUCAUUCGAUACUGUUCGACUCGAAGGCAGGAGAGGGAAGUGGAAUUCCCGGUGUAGUGGUGAAAUGCGUAGAUAUCGGGAGGAACACCAGUGGCGAAGGCGACUUCCUGGCCUGUUCUUGACGCUGAGGCGCGAAAGCUAGGGGAGCAAACGGGAUUAGAUACCCCGGUAGUCCUAGCCGUAAACGAUGGACACUAGGUGUUGGCGGUAUCAACCCCGCCAGUGCCGUAGCUAACGCAUUAAGUGUCCCGCCUGGGGAGUACGGCCGCAAGGCUAAAACUCAAAGGAAUUGACGGGGGCCCGCACAAGCAGCGGAGCGUGGGGUUUAAUUCGACGCAACGCGAAGAACCUUACCAGGACUUGACAUGGCCGAGAUCGUGGCGGAAACGUCGCUUCCCCGCAAGGGGCUUGGUCACAGGUGUUGCAUGGCUGCCGUCAGCUCGUGUCGUGAGAUGUUGGGUUAAGUCCCGCAACGAGCGCAACCCU